Molecule: ribosomal RNA, 2905 nt
Filed under: Salmonella enterica subsp. arizonae
Lineage: Bacteria; Pseudomonadati; Pseudomonadota; Gammaproteobacteria; Enterobacterales; Enterobacteriaceae
Description: bacterial LSU rRNA
Rfam family: Bacterial large subunit ribosomal RNA
Source: RNAcentral
UUAAGCGACCAAGCGUACACGGUGGAUGCCCUGGCAGUCAGAGGCGAUGAAGGACGUGCUAAUCUGCGAAAAGCGCCGGUAAGGUGAUAUGAACCGUUAUAACCGGCGAUGUCCGAAUGGGGAAACCCAGUGUGACUCGUCACACUAUCAUUAACUGAAUCCAUAGGUUAAUGAGGCGAACCGGGGGAACUGAAACAUCUAAGUACCCCGAGGAAAAGAAAUCAACCGAGAUUCCCCCAGUAGCGGCGAGCGAACGGGGAGGAGCCCAGAGCCUGAAUCAGCAUGUGUGUUAGUGGAAGCGUCUGGAAAGGCGCGCGAUACAGGGUGAGAGCCCCGUACACAAAAGCGCACAUGCUGUGAGCUCGAUGAGUAGGGCGGGACACGUGGUAUCCUGUCUGAAUAUGGGGGGACCAUCCUCCAAGGCUAAAUACUCCUGACUGACCGAUAGUGAACCAGUACCGUGAGGGAAAGGCGAAAAGAACCCCGGCGAGGGGAGUGAAACAGAACCUGAAACCGUGUACGUACAAGCAGUGGGAGCCUCUCUUUAUGGGGGGUGACUGCGUACCUUUUGUAUAAUGGGUCAGCGACUUAUAUUCUGUAGCAAGGUUAACCGCAUAGGGGAGCCGAAGGGAAACCGAGUCUUAACCGGGCGUUAAGUUGCAGGGUAUAGACCCGAAACCCGGUGAUCUAGCCAUGGGCAGGUUGAAGGUUGGGUAACACUAACUGGAGGACCGAACCGACUAAUGUUGAAAAAUUAGCGGAUGACCUGUGGCUGGGGGUGAAAGGCCAAUCAAACCGGGAGAUAGCUGGUUCUCCCCGAAAGCUAUUUAGGUAGCGCCUCGUGAAUUCAUCUCCGGGGGUAGAGCACUGUUUCGGCUAGGGGGCCAUCCCGGCUUACCAACCCGAUGCAAACUGCGAAUACCGGAGAAUGUUAUCACGGGAGACACACGGCGGGUGCUAACGUCCGUCGUGAAGAGGGAAACAACCCAGACCGCCAGCUAAGGUCCCAAAGUCAUGGUUAAGUGGGAAACGAUGUGGGAAGGCCCAGACAGCCAGGAUGUUGGCUUAGAAGCAGCCAUCAUUUAAAGAAAGCGUAAUAGCUCACUGGUCGAGUCGGCCUGCGCGGAAGAUGUAACGGGGCUAAACCAUGCACCGAAGCUGCGGCAGCGACACUUUAGUGUUGUUGGGUAGGGGAGCGUUCUGUAAGCCGUUGAAGGUGUCCUGUGAGGGGUGCUGGAGGUAUCAGAAGUGCGAAUGCUGACAUAAGUAACGAUAAAGCGGGUGAAAAGCCCGCUCGCCGGAAGACCAAGGGUUCCUGUCCAACGUUAAUCGGGGCAGGGUGAGUCGACCCCUAAGGCGAGGCCGAAAGGCGUAGUCGAUGGGAAACGGGUUAAUAUUCCCGUACUUGGUGUUACUGCGAAGGGGGGACGGAGAAGGCUAUGUUGGCCGGGCGACGGUAGUCCCGGUUUAAGCGUGUAGGCUGGUUUUCCAGGCAAAUCCGGAAAAUCAAGGCUGAGGCGUGAUGACGAGGCACCACGGUGCUGAAGCAACAAAUGCCCUGCUUCCAGGAAAAGCCUCUAAGCAUCAGGUAACAUCAAAUCGUACCCCAAACCGACACAGGUGGUCAGGUAGAGAAUACCAAGGCGCUUGAGAGAACUCGGGUGAAGGAACUAGGCAAAAUGGUGCCGUAACUUCGGGAGAAGGCACGCUGACACGUAGGUGAAGUGAUUUACUCACGGAGCUGAAGUCAGUCGAAGAUACCAGCUGGCUGCAACUGUUUAUUAAAAACACAGCACUGUGCAAACACGAAAGUGGACGUAUACGGUGUGACGCCUGCCCGGUGCCGGAAGGUUAAUUGAUGGGGUCAGCGCAAGCGAAGCUCCUGAUCGAAGCCCCGGUAAACGGCGGCCGUAACUAUAACGGUCCUAAGGUAGCGAAAUUCCUUGUCGGGUAAGUUCCGACCUGCACGAAUGGCGUAAUGAUGGCCAGGCUGUCUCCACCCGAGACUCAGUGAAAUUGAACUCGCUGUGAAGAUGCAGUGUACCCGCGGCAAGACGGAAAGACCCCGUGAACCUUUACUAUAGCUUGACACUGAACAUUGAGCCUUGAUGUGUAGGAUAGGUGGGAGGCUUUGAAGCGUGGACGCCAGUCUGCGUGGAGCCGACCUUGAAAUACCACCCUUUAAUGUUUGAUGUUCUAACGUGGACCCGUAAUCCGGGUUGCGGACAGUGUCUGGUGGGUAGUUUGACUGGGGCGGUCUCCUCCUAAAGAGUAACGGAGGAGCACGAAGGUUGGCUAAUCCUGGUCGGACAUCAGGAGGUUAGUGCAAUGGCAUAAGCCAGCUUGACUGCGAGCGUGACGGCGCGAGCAGGUGCGAAAGCAGGUCAUAGUGAUCCGGUGGUUCUGAAUGGAAGGGCCAUCGCUCAACGGAUAAAAGGUACUCCGGGGAUAACAGGCUGAUACCGCCCAAGAGUUCAUAUCGACGGCGGUGUUUGGCACCUCGAUGUCGGCUCAUCACAUCCUGGGGCUGAAGUAGGUCCCAAGGGUAUGGCUGUUCGCCAUUUAAAGUGGUACGCGAGCUGGGUUUAGAACGUCGUGAGACAGUUCGGUCCCUAUCUGCCGUGGGCGCUGGAGAAUUGAGGGGGGCUGCUCCUAGUACGAGAGGACCGGAGUGGACGCAUCACUGGUGUUCGGGUUGUCAUGCCAAUGGCACUGCCCGGUAGCUAAAUGCGGAAAAGAUAAGUGCUGAAAGCAUCUAAGCACGAAACUUGCCCCGAGAUGAGUUCUCCCUGAGACUUUGAGUCUCCUGAAGGAACGUUAAAGACGAUGACGUUGAUAGGCCGGGUGUGUAAGCGCAGCGAUGCGUUGAGCUAACCGGUACUAAUGAACCGUGAGGCUUAACCUU